Molecule: unclassified non-coding RNA, 197 nt
Filed under: plant metagenome
Description: partial contains small subunit ribosomal RNA, internal transcribed spacer 1, and 5.8S ribosomal RNA
Source: RNAcentral
UCUCCGUUGGUGAACCAGCGGAAGGAUCAUUACCGAGUGUAAACUCAUAACCCUUUGUGAACCUAUAUCUGUUGCUUCGGCGGCUCGCUCUCGGGCGAGCCCGCCGGUAAUAUCAGUAUCUCUGUUUGAACCCGACGAUACUUCUGAGUGUUCUUAGCGAACAGUUAAAACUUUCAACAACGGAUCUCUUGGUUCUG